Pseudophryne corroboree (corroboree frog) is the source of this 1145-nucleotide long non-coding RNA. RefSeq lists it as uncharacterized. The transcript has 3 exons. The record is from RefSeq and is a predicted model, not a curated record. NCBI's taxonomy places the organism in Eukaryota, Metazoa, Chordata, Amphibia, Anura, Myobatrachidae.
CACCCGAGAGACACAACUUUUUCUAACGCUGUGUGACACCAAACUACCUGUAUGAGAGGGGUGAAACUUGCAAACUAUUUUGGGAUAAUCCAAGACAACCACAAAAAGGAUGCAUCAAAUGUUUAAAUAUGUGAAUAGUCAACUGGAUCAGACUGGACACUUGCGUCGGACAUGGACUCUCUCUUGGCACCUAGACCAGACCUGCCCUUGAUUGGACGAACUGCAGAAUGCUAAGUGGAGGUGCCCAUUAAGUCAUGUUAUGUAAUGCAAAAAUCCCUGGAGCCUCUUAUGGAUGGUGCAUUUUUCUGUGAUAGCAAGAAUUAGAUAAAUAUUACAGUUUCACAAGUAUACUAAGGUAAAUCAGUAAUUUACAAAUGGAAAGCAUCUCCAUAUAGCUAAAAAAAAAUCUUAAAUGUUCUCUCUUGCUAGACAUCUGGGUCUGAUUAUAAUGAUCUGUGGGUUGGUCAGUAGAAGGGUUGAUGCAUUUAAUAGAUGGGAGUUGGGCAAAAAAACAAACACCAGGGAUGGCCAUUGAUGGGUCUACCAUUGAUAGUCUACAUUGAUGGUGCUAUAAGUGUUUUGCAUCAAUAGCUCUAAAUAAUCAGUGGGAAACCAUUGAUGAUUUAAACUGCAUCCCUGCUCUCAGUCACAGAAGCGGCAUUGGGUAAGAGAACCAUUGGAAGAUGGAGCUAAGCACAGCAGGCUGGGGGGAAUUGGUCCAUCUCUGUCAUUGACGGUGGAGAACCUUUGAACCUCCAUCAUCAAUGGGAGAACCAUUGUAAUUCGGUGGUAAAUCAUCGCUGGAUACGAACUAUGGCCAUUAUGCACAUCGAGAUCACACCAGUCUUCUUCUUAGUCCACCAGUCUUCUUAGUCAACCACUUUUCAUCUUAAACAGUAGAAACAUUGGGUACACCAGUGACACCAAAUGCUCAACUUUCCCUGGUCAGUCAUGUGUCAGUGAUUUCAGCCUUCAUCUCCUAGCCAGUUGUUUGGCCUUUAUACUGAAUUUUAUGAGCUUUAAUAUUUUCCAUAUUAACCUUCUGAAUCCCAGCACCACGAAAUUGCUGCUUUUCUUUUGUGUAUUCCUCUGUAUAUUGUACAGUACUGUGUGUGUUACAUAAACACAACUGACCAAUGAAAUUA